RNAcentral lists this transfer RNA (72 nucleotides) under Heterocephalus glaber (naked mole-rat). It matches the Rfam family "tRNA". From Rfam's summary of the family: Transfer RNA (tRNA) molecules are approximately 80 nucleotides in length. Their secondary structure includes four short double-helical elements and three loops (D, anti-codon, and T loops). Lineage: Eukaryota; Metazoa; Chordata; Mammalia; Rodentia; Bathyergidae. The record is from Rfam by way of RNAcentral.
UGGGGUGUAGCUUAGUGGCAGAGCGCCUCCCUGGCGAGCACGAGGCCCUGGGUUCAAUUCCCAAUACCAUGA